RNAcentral lists this transfer RNA (73 nucleotides) under Myxococcales bacterium. Its description in RNAcentral is "tRNA-Asn". It matches the Rfam family "tRNA". From Rfam's summary of the family: Transfer RNA (tRNA) molecules are approximately 80 nucleotides in length. Their secondary structure includes four short double-helical elements and three loops (D, anti-codon, and T loops). Lineage: Bacteria; Pseudomonadati; Myxococcota; Myxococcia; Myxococcales. The record is from RNAcentral.
GGACCGGUAGCUCAACUGGCAGAGCGCGCGGUUGUUAACCGCAAGGUUGUGGGAUCGUCCCCCACCCGGUCCG